GGAUGGGAGGGUGAUCUGGCUGUGCCAUCUGUCACCCCAGUGGUCCCCAGGGGGGAACUGGCUGAGCUGGCUGGCUAGGCAAAUGUGCCCCCUGCCCUGACCACUCCAUGCUCGUCCCUUCCAAAGCUGUGUGCUCAGUCAAAGAAGAUGGCCACCCCUGAUAGAGAAGGACCACUGCCCUGCUAGAACCUUGAACAAGCUCAGAAGGACAAGCACUUUGGAGGCAAAAAUCUGAAGGUUGAGCCCCUACGUAUGGUAUUAUGGCUAUGACC
RNAcentral lists this small nuclear RNA (272 nucleotides) under Octodon degus (degu). RNAcentral describes it as "7SK RNA (ENSODEG00000024137.1)". It matches the Rfam family "7SK RNA". Rfam says of the family: 7SK was discovered as an abundant small nuclear RNA in the mid-70s but a possible function has only recently been suggested. Lineage: Eukaryota; Metazoa; Chordata; Mammalia; Rodentia; Octodontidae. The record is from Rfam by way of RNAcentral.